This 482-nucleotide unclassified non-coding RNA is filed under the name Bombus terrestris (buff-tailed bumblebee). RNAcentral's name for it is "misc RNA ENSBTSG00005022992.1". The record is from RNAcentral. Lineage: Eukaryota; Metazoa; Arthropoda; Insecta; Hymenoptera; Apidae.
GCACACGCGGCUCGUAUGGCGAACGUACUCCCAUCGGGAUGCAUCGAUUUCAGGCGAUUAACGGCGCUAGUUAAUUUCGAGCAAUCGACGAAAGAGCAUUUUCGCCAUGGAAAAUCUCAUCCGAUACCGGAAAACGGUUUCACCGCAUUUCCAUCGUUUCCUCUCUUUUUAAAAUUUCCUACAUACUGUAUUCGCCUUAGAAUCGAACAUCCCUCGGGAACGUGCAUUCGCUUCACGCGCCCGGCGCCAAUUCAUCUUUUUCUUCAUUUUUUCCUCUCUCUCUCUCUCUCUCUCUCUCUCUCGCGUUUGUUCGCUCGCUUGGAAACGCGCCACAGGUUCGUCGCUUUACCUAGCCAAACACCAUCUCCUGCGGACGCGUGACUCCAGAUACCGCUGUCUAUUUCGCGUGGCUGGUGUUUUACGUUAAAAUUGAGAUUUUUGCGCGAGAACCCGAGGUCUCGACGGGUUUCCAUGCACGCAAA